Sorghum bicolor (sorghum) is the source of this 107-nucleotide small nucleolar RNA. It matches the Rfam family "Plant small nucleolar RNA R71". Rfam says of the family: R71 is a member of the C/D box family of snoRNAs containing the C (UGAUGA) and D (CUGA) box motifs. Multiple nearly identical copies of this snoRNA have been identified in Arabidopsis, and it is thought to function as a 2'-O-ribose methylation guide for 18S ribosomal RNA. Lineage: Eukaryota; Viridiplantae; Streptophyta; Magnoliopsida; Poales; Poaceae. The record is from Rfam.
AUUCCAUGAUGGGGACAUUCUAAGAUGUAAUCUUGGAAACGCUCCCAUGCUUCUGGAACGGAUUCAUCAUGUUGUUGCUGAAAAAUUGUAAUCUUCCCACGGAGAGC